GAUGAAGAACGCAGCGAAAGGCGAUACGUAAUGUGAAUUGCAAAUUCAGUGAAUCAUCGAGUCUUUGAACGCACAUUGCGCCCCCUGGUAUUCCGGGGGGCAUGCCUGUCCGAGCGUCAUUGCUGCCCUCAAGCACGGCUUGUGUGUUGGGCCCCGUCCUCCGAUCCCGGGGGACGGGCCCGAAAGGCAGCGGCGGCACCGCGUCCGGUCCUCGAGCGUAUGGGGCUUUGUCACCCGCUCUGUAGGCCCGGCCGGCGCUUGCCGAUCAACCCAAAUUUUUAUCCAGGUUGACCUCGGAUCAGGUAGGGAUACCCGCUGAACUUAAGCAUAUCAAUAAGCGGAGGA
Molecule: unclassified non-coding RNA, 345 nt
Filed under: soil metagenome
Description: partial contains 5.8S ribosomal RNA, internal transcribed spacer 2, and large subunit ribosomal RNA
Rfam family: 5.8S ribosomal RNA (bases 1-119)
Source: RNAcentral